AAGUCUUUAGCACUUGAAGAAAUGGGACAUCUUAAUUUUAGCUUCUGAUCACAGUUUAUAAACUAUAAAACAAAUUUCUUUUUAAAGUCUUAUAGGAACAAGAAGUGAUCUUGACUAAGAUUCCCCUGAGAUAGCCUCGCAAGUGAACAGAUAAUAAGAUCACAAAAAUGUGUUUGCCUGUGAUCUUUAGAUGGCCACACACAGCACACAGUCUACUUUCAGGUAAUUUUCAAGUAAAAAUCUCAGUGUAAUCAUAAUGUAUUGAUUUGUUUUGCCUUGGUUCCUUUUCACAAAUAUAUUGUUUUUUUCUUGGGAUAAUGUGUUUUUAAAAACCUCCUUAAAAGAAGUAAUCUGGCAGUCACCCACUGGCCAUUUUGCAGUCCCAGUAUUGUUCCUGUACGGGGAAUACUGGGAGCUCAUGGUCCCCAUGGAUCCAUGAACUCCACCGCUAAUCCCAUGGUAGUACACUUAACAGCAGGUUAAAGGAUGAUGAGUAGAGAUGUGAUUUUGCCGUUAUCAAACAAGUAUUUAUCUAGUGGAGGUACUGAUUUAACUUGCUAGCAGUUUAUUCAUUCCAAGUUAACCACUUCAAAGAGGCAUAUAAAACUAACCAAGCAAAUUGUUUGCUUUUUGUGUAGAUAAAGGCCUUAGGCAAACAAUUUAUACAACACACACCAAUGAGGACAGUCUUUCACUUUGGGUUGUAAUAUGCCAUCAUUCUAUAAUAAAGCAAUGCUUUCUUGGCAAGCAGGGGGUUGAGCACCAUACUUUCUGUUUUCCUAUUUCUGCAUUCCUACAGGAAGAGAGAAGGAAUAUUGUGCUUUUCAUCAACCACAGCAAGAGUCAUUUGAGUUUGAAACACAGCUAGUUUUUAAGGAAACUAUACCAUGGUCUUCUGGAAUGGGAAAAGCUUUUUCUUUCAAGGGACAAAAGGUGAGAUUUUCUUUUUGUCUUCAGCCUUUACCAGUACAAAAGAGUGAACCAUCUCUACAUACAUGUUCAGAGGCAAAUCCGAUGACUAAUUGCAGAGUAAGCAAAUUUCUUGAUUCUGAUCAAACCAGCAACAUGCAUUUGAAUUUAGGUUGGAUUUAGAUGAGCAAGUCAAUAACUUAGAAUAGUGAAGACUGAGGCAAAUCCCAUGGUGACCUUGGUAAGGCAUCCCAUUUCAGAGGACGGACAAGAUGGCUCAGGGCCGGCUCCCUUGAAGACCGUCUUGAGAAAGGGCUAGAGAGGCUUUUAGUGCAAGCCCCACGGGAUCACAAGUUGAAAGAAGUAUUUACAUGUGUCAGUACCCUCUCAUUCCUGAACUUCAACUAGGUUCAGGGUUCAGUAUUGCAAUCACAUUCUCGUAAGUUCUGGCUUUGGGAGGAAGAUGGAGUCAGUAAUGCAUAACUUUGAUUUUUUUAAGUAAUCAUGAUAUUUGGGUAGAAAUAACUCAAUUCCAAAGAAUUAUUUAGAUUAGUCUAAAGUUGUUUUUUUUUCCUGAUUUUGAAAUUGUUACACCAUGACUUUUCAACAAACUCACCUCUUUGUUUAUUUUCUAUUAUGCUUACAUCAGAAUACAUAACAUUCCCUAGCUGGUCUGAAAUCAGGAAUGAACUUUCACAGUCUCAACUCUGGCCAUUUUUCCUUUUAACAAACAAAUAGAAAAGAACUUCCAAGAAUGAUUUUGACCAGAUAGAGUCUGCUCCUUUUAACAAGAUUGUGUGAAGCACCUACUGUGUGCCAGGCUGUGUGUGAUGGAGAGGGAGCAAAUGCAUAAGUCCCUGACAUCAAGAGAUCUUCAACCUAAAACAGAGAAUAAUGGGGGUACUGAAUUUAAUUCAUAAAAAGUAGCACCCCACUUUCUUGUGAUCCCUUGGUUAGAAUCACCAACUUUUAUGAGUUUGUAGAAAAGCCCAGAGUGCUAAAAAGUAAAAAGCAAACAUUCCAUUUCUGAGCAAUUUGGGAGAAACUAAAUUUGGCCCAGUCAGGAGACACGUUGGGGAGUACCAUGUAUUUCCUCACUUGAUCUUUGGCAUUUGGGAGGGAGACAAUGUAGAUGUUUCAUUUCCAUUAUACACAUGACUAAAAUAAAGCUCUGAGGAGUUAAAUGACGAGCCCACGUCACACCACUGAAUCUUGAAGGGGUGGCUGUUGGACCAAGAUCUUCUGACUCUGAAUCCAGUAUUCUUUCCACUACCCCAUAUCCAGCCAGAAGCAAUAAGAAAAAUAUUUGGGAAAACUAACACUGAAGGAGCCAGCAUGUCUCUUUCUUGUUCUCUCAACCUCCAAAACAAUUCACCAGAAAUCUCUGGCAAGUUUCAUAAAUGUCUGAGUCACCUUUGGUGCACAGUUGAUUCUGAAAAAAACUACACACACAUAUGCACACACACACACACACAUUGAUAUAUGCAUAAAAUGUAUUAUCAUCCCAGUAUUGAAAAAUCUUUAUCAUGUUCCAUGUUCUUCUCAAUGCAGUAUGUGCCUAUAACCUAGUUCGGUAACUAUUUGCUGAAUGAAUACAUUAAUGUUUAUCUCCCUUAUGGCUACAUCUUCUUUUACAUCUCAGAAUCAUUCUUCUAUUUCAGUCUGCGGAAUUGAUAAGUCUUAUGCUAAGUUUCCAUUUAAUUUUUUAAGACACUGCCAAACUGUUUUCCAAAGUGGCUGUUUCAUUUUACAUUCCCACCAGCAACAGAUGAAGGCAAGCAUUGAUUUCUGAAAUUGCUUUAGAUAGUGGAAUUGAAAGUCUUCAGCUUUGGUUACAUUUGGUCUUUGAACUGCAACCUUGAAAGAAAACUGUGAAAUACCUAAAUCAUACUAUAUACUCUUAAAGACAAAGAAUGAUGGGAAAUUAAUUGAAAUAAAUGAGGUUUAGAUAACAGAAGGGAUUUGUAACAAGUAAGUGUUCUCAGGGAUAGUAUUUUCAGCUUUCGUUUGCUAGGAAAUUAAAUCAACCAAUUAAAUAAAAUAACUCUCCAUAAAGAUCAGUUAGAUUUGCCAUAUAGAUUGUUCAUUUACGAAAAUGCACUUUGAGAGUUAUGUAACAAAGACACUGGUUUCAUUUUAUCUGCAUUUUAAUACCAUUUAAUCCUCACUAUUAUUAUGCCCAUUUUACAGCUAGGAGAACUGAGUCACAAGGACACAAGUGGAAGUUCUUGAAUUAAAACCAAAAUAAGCCUAAUUCUAACAGCUGAGCUCUUUGCCAAUUUAUUUUAAGUCUCAUUUCCCUGCUGACCAACUCUCCCUUCGUCUUGCUUCAAAAACCACACUAAUUUCUUCUUCUCCUAUUUUCUUUUUUUUUUUCUGAGACAGGGUCUCACUCCCAUCACCCAAUUUUAUACAAUGAUUUUAUUUAAACCUAUAUGGCUGAUAUUGUGACUUCCAUUUUACAGAUUUUUUAAAAGGUCCAGAGAGGUUAAGAAAUUUGCUAACACAGGGCUGGGUGUGGUGGCUCAUGCCUGUAAUCCCAGCACUUUGGGAGGCCGAGGCGGGCAAAUCACGAGGUCAGGAGUUCGAGACCAGCAUGGCCAACAUGGGCCACCGAACAAUGAAAGGGGAAGCCUGUAAGAAGAAUAACAAUGACACGGAAGCCUGCUCCAGCCUGGUGAAAUCCCUUCUGCAGUUUUUACAAGAAGCAAAACAAACAACAGUCUGACCCCUCGGCUCGCCCCCGACGCCACACCCCCUCCUCAGUCCGCAUGUUGGGUCAGGAAGGGCAGUGGUGUGGCCAGAUCCAUGAAAGGGAUUCUAAGAACAAAGCCUGUGCCGUUUACCUGCAGAUCAAAGUUUGCCGUUAAUAACAUGUGUGUUGGAGAGGGCAGAGAGAGGACCGUUGCCCCUGCAUUCCAUUAAAAAGGGAUUAUGGGCUGUCUGACCAGGUAAGCAGUGUGAUCUGUGAACAGAAACUUGUCCUUUGGAAGUGGGGCUGUGGCAAAACAAAAGCCUUAGGAGACGUAAUCAGCAACCGUUCACUGCAGCAGGGCGGGUGGCGCGGUGUCUGUGUUUGUGCCUGUGUGCAAGGGCAUGUGCGAUAUUUUCUGCUGUUGCUAAGAUGGGUUCCCCCUUCACUGGCCUCUCGCCCAAUCGAAAGGUAGCUGCUCCUCAUUGGCUGCCUGGCUUUAUCGAAUGACCAUGACGAGCUGGAGCGAAGCCCACCUCAUUGGCUUAUUCCUAUGGCCAUUGUCAGGGGAGAGCAAAUCAGACACCUAAUCAAUAUUUUGUGAAGUGGCACUAGACUCUUGGCUAAAUUUGCAUUAAAUUUCUCUAAGAAUAUGAAUGUUUUAUUAUGCAAAUCUAAAAAUAAAACAAACAAAAACAAAAUAUUUGUUACAAAGUUAAAUCUUAAUGAUGGUCCCUUAUGAACUUCAACUUUUUAUUUAAGGGCACUAUAUUGCCUUAAUGUGCAUUAAAAUGAUUUCAUUUUGUCUCCAUUCAUACCAUGAGCUGAAAUUAAAUUAUGUCUAAUUGUCAGUGUACAUAGUGGGCAGUAUUGAAUCAACAAAUGCUUAGAAAAUGACCUUUUUUUUUUUGAGACUGGUUCUCACUCUAUCAUCAAGGCCAGAGUGCAGUGGAGCGGAGCAAUCAUGACUCACUGCAGCCUUGACUUCCUAGGCUCAAGCGAUCCUCCCACAUCAGCCUCCAGAGUAGCUGGGACUACAGGCAUGAACCAUCACAUCUGGUUAAUUUUGGUCUUUAGGAGCUCACAGGCAAAACCAACUCUGAAAAACCUUUAAUACUCAGCAUGGGUAUUCACUAAGUUAAGUCUCCACCCUGAGUAGGAAUUGUUUUAAAGCUGCUGUAAGAGUCUAAAUCUUUCCUUCACGUUUUAUUUCUUGCAAAUGUUUGUGAACGUGUUCCUUGCUCUUAGAUUUUGUGAAAUGUAGGCUAGAGUAGAACUUAUAGCACUGAAAUCCAUUUCUGCUUUACUCUUAGACAGGUAGCCAUGAUGGCAUCUCUGGAGCCAAGUCUCUAGAAUGCAAUAGUCUUUGACAUAAUAGUGCUUUUGCAAAGCUGGAGAAUUAGACAAUGCCAAAAUUAGAAAGUGUCUAACAACUUUUACAGUGAGUAAAUUCUGUACAAUCUGAAUUCCUUGAUUGUGAAAAAAUGUCCCCAGGGCCACCCAUUGGGAGGCCUCCCAUACACUUACUAAUCCAACACAGCUUAGAGGCCUUGACAGCUCCAGCGGUGCUGCUUAGACACCCCCCUUAUGAAUAUGCAAAGACAAUCUUUCACUUACAAAAGAAACUGAUAUAGCCAUUAUGGCCUGUGGUUAAUCAAACCUCCAUUCACUUCCCUCUGCUUUGAGAACCGUCAUCAAGAAAAUGUGUUGCUAAGCAAACUUAGCAGUAAGGACCUGGUUCAUGGAGUUUCACUCUGUUGCACGGCUAGAGCGCAGUGGCGUGGUCUCGGCUCACUGCAACCUCCGCCUCCCAGGUUCAAGUAAUUUUUAAAAGAUAUUUGUAUUUUUAGGGCUCAGAAGAUAUAAGUUACAAACAAUAUUUUGACCAUAUUAUGUUCAGUAUGUUAAAUACUGGGGGUGGCCAUUUUCAAGAAAUGUCAGGGUUAGGUCUUCAGUCUGAUUUACAAGUUUUCUAUUUAUUGGAGCAAUUACAGACACUUGUUGAAAUGUCUGGAUUAAUGGUUGAACUUGAACCUAUGCUUUCAAAAUGUCUUGGGAUGGACCUUGGCCACAAGAUGAGUUGUUCCUUUCAAGUUGUUCCAGAAGUUAAAUAUCUGCAGAAGACACAGGCUAAGAGAUGGGGUUCCCUCCAAAUCUGUUCUCCCAAGGGUUUCAGCAUUCCUUCCAGCUCCUUGGAGAACUACACUAUUUGUGAGUGCAAAAAGAACUUGUUUCGACUGCUUCAACCAUAGAGACUCAGCUUUUCAUUAACCUCUUUGUCUCUUCUAGCAUUUUAGGUGGAAAUAUUACCCAGCCUUAUAAUAUUUCAGCCAUUUCCUUCCUUCCCCCUUCAUUUCACACCUUAUUAAAGCAUAACUGAUCAGAAGAUGGGACGAUCCAUUUUUCUUUUUUUUUUUUUUGCCAAAAAUAAAAAGUCUGGAUGGAGUCUUCCCGCAGAGAAGAAAUAAAAAGAGUGUUUGAAUUGUUGGAUGGUUCUGAAGGCUUCUGAAUUUGCAAACGAAUUUUAGAACUAUUUGCAGAGGUCUACUUGCUGCCAGUCAUCUCUCUCUCUCUCUCUUUCUCUUCUGUUUUAUGUCCUGCUAUCUCCAUCAUGCCUCUGUUACUAUGAAGACUUUCUGCCUGUGUAAGUAAGUGAGAGUGUGCAUUCCUUAAUGUUUGAAUCAAGACACACGUCUGCAUGCAUUUCUAAUCUAAGAAGCCUAUAGCAGUUACUACAACUAUCAAUUAGUCAGCAAUAGCUGAGAACUUCAACGCCUCUGAAGGAACAAAGGUGGAAAGACAGGCAGAUACUCCAGCAUCUGGAUCAUGCAACUUGCUGGCUACAAAUAAUGGCACCUUCUCUGGCUUUUAUCUGUGUUUAGUCCUCAAAUCUAUGUAACAUUAUGGGUUAUUAAUGUAUCCAGCCACAUAAUUAGAUAUGGAGCAUCUAAGACAUAUAUGUUUCUUUGGCAUUAUUGGGAAUAAAAUGCUCCAGGAAAUUGAGUUUAAUGAAAAGCAUUAGGAUGUAAUAGAAAGAGUAAAGACUUUUGAACCAAAAGAUGUGGGUGGAAAUCCUAACUCUACCACUUACUGACUCUUUGGUAAUUGAGCAAACCACUUUUCUGAGCCUUGACUUCCUCAUCUCUAAAAUGAACAAAAUGAUACCCCUUUAUUGAGGGAAUAAAAUAUUUGCCCCUGUGUUCAGUACCUUUUGGCUUCUCUUCUAUUCAUUAAGGUGUGUUGAUGUAAUACAUGAGCCUUGGCCAAUUUGCCAAGCCACAAUAUAAUUUCAUUUUUCUACUUUUAGGAAGUGACAAUGUUUGUCUGGUAUAACUACAUAAAAAUGUAGACACAUCAAAGACAUUAAAUAUGUUUCUCCUUUUUCUUGUCACAAGUAUCAAGUCUACAUUCAGCCAACAUGAGUGCCAAGAACACCCUUAUUGAAUGAUAGAUUUAGUGUGUGGUUUAGUGAUGCUAAGUUCUCCUGCGUGAUUUCUUUCUUUCUCCCUCCCUCCUUUCCUUCCUUCCUACCUUCUUUUCUCUCCCUCCUUCUCUCCCUUUCUUCCUUUCUUCCUUCUCUUUUUCCCACCUGCCUGCCAUAACGAUCAUGUCUUGCCUGAAAGGACAAUGAUUAAUAGCAUUUCCUUACAUUUGUAUAGUUUUUUUAAGUACUGUCCUCUAUCCAUUUCAACGAUUUCCUUUGUCGUCUCACUUGAUCCUUCAUACCAGCCCCCAUGAAAUGAAGCAGAGCAGCCAUUUCUAAAAUUAUUGAAAAGGAGGUCACGCAAUGAGUUAGUAACAAAGCCAGGACAAUGAGCCAUGCCACUCAUUUGUUUAUUCAUUCAUUCAUUUAUUCAUAUUGAGUUCUGCACUGUAAAAUUCAUUACAGGUUCUUACAGGGAGUCAGACUUCAUGCAUGCCAGAGUUCUGUACCAGAGGGCCUCACCAGUGGCAGGUGCUCCCGCCCAGCACGGAGAAGUCAGUCAGGGCGUGAGUGAAUUAAUGCAUGAAAUUCAGGAUUGUACUAUAGCAUACUUCCUCCAGAACAUAGCAGGAACCUGGAGGCAGAAGGGCCAGUGCACUGACUGCAUCGGCCUCUUUCCUUCUGCCCCUGAAGUCUACACUGAAUGACAUUGGGUCGAUUUUCCUGGUCAGACUUAGUAAGAGACUUGUUAGGGGCAACAGCAGAGGAGGGCUUGAUAUUUGGCUCUUUGCUGAUUUGGAGACAAAGAGGCAAAGGGGAACAGUUCUUAUCAAAACAUUUAAUUAUCUAGACUCUCCUAAGACAUAAAUUCUUCCUGCAAAUAUCUCUACAUGCUUUAAAAAUAUUCAGAGUAACAGGUUUCCACUUAUAAGUUAUGAAGUUUAAGAAUGGUUAAGUACUCUCUGUAGUCUGAAAAAAAAUAGCAUUGCAUCUAAAGGAAGCUAACUUUCUCUAGAAGAACAAUUUUAACAGUGGGGGAAUCUGUCCCCACACUUGGGCCAAUGUUUAUGACAAACCAUCAAGCUCAUUUUUUGAUGUAGUUACCAUAAAAUUUUAAACUGUAUAUGUGACCUGCAUUUUAUUUCUAUUCGGCAAUACUACUAGAGAUGACAUUGCAGCAGAAACCCCGUAAAACAUGGCUUAUGCUACGAUUCACACUGCUUUCCUCAAAAUCUAGUGCAGGUAAGACAGUCUGGGAUCAGCUUUAAGGAUAUAUAGUGAAAUUCACCACAGCAGAAACCGUAAAACUUGUAGCCAAAUUUAAAUGGAACUAAGGGGAGGAAGAAACAAUGAAAAUACAAAAGAACGGAAAAUUCCAAAACCGUAACUUUUUGAUCCUAGAAAAUAGCGUAUGCAGUCCUCUACUGGAGACACAUACUGAGACACUACCUCCUCCCACCUCAAAUCCUUCCUAUCCAGCUCCCUGAUGAAGACCCAUCAGGUCACUCCUCCCAUUAACUAUCCUCCCAUUAACUAUCCUCAGGAGACACUAAAAAGUACUGAGCUUGGUAAUGAGAGACAGACACUCCUUCUGCUACUAUGGAUGGAUAGUUACUGAAGGUCACUAAUAUCUGAUGCAAAUUUAUGGAAAGCUGUUUUAAUAUUGCAUCAAGUCAACAUAAUGACUCUCUUUGUAAAAUCUGUUAUAUUCUACAAAGCAUUUCUAACAACAACCCAAGGAAAUUAGUACUAUUAUUAUUAUCUUUCUUUUGAAGAUGAGAAGACUGCAGUAGUGAGCUGAAGUAGCCAUUCAGUGUCACAGCUGGUAAAUGGCAAGACCAGGACUGGAUCCCUUCCCUUUCCAUUCGCUGCCCAGCUCACAUUUCUGCACCAACAGACUUGUUUUACUGGUCUGCAUUUGAGUGCUCUGUGCACUUCUGUGUACCAUUUAUUCAUUUAGACUGCACAUGCUCUGAGGGAGUGGCCCCUCCUUCCAUUUGGUCUUACAGCCCUGUGACUGUGCACUUACAGUUCCCGGUUCUCUACAGAGAACAGUCCAUUACGGAUCACUGAUUUGCUCAGAAGCAGGCCCUUGAGAUUCAUCUCUCUAAAGGGAUUUCUCUAACGUAAUGAUAUGUGUAAGCCAGGAACUUCGGAGCCCAGACAGUGCACCUCAAGAGCCUGGUCAGCACUGGUCAGAAGACCCCCCAUAAAACCCGAAAUCUUGACAUUUCCAAAACCUGUCUGCAUAUGUGCCUUUACUUCUUUUUUUCUUUUUUCUUUUUUUUU
RNAcentral lists this long non-coding RNA (9314 nucleotides) under Homo sapiens (human). Its description in RNAcentral is "non-protein coding lnc-UBASH3B-2:3". The record is from RNAcentral. Lineage: Eukaryota; Metazoa; Chordata; Mammalia; Primates; Hominidae.